Molecule: ribosomal RNA, 409 nt
Filed under: Pseudomonas putida
Lineage: Bacteria; Pseudomonadati; Pseudomonadota; Gammaproteobacteria; Pseudomonadales; Pseudomonadaceae
Description: bacterial SSU rRNA
Rfam family: Bacterial small subunit ribosomal RNA
Source: RNAcentral
AAUGCGGGGCGGGGGCCUAACAAAUGGCAAGUCGAGCGGAUGACGGGAGCUUGCUCCUUGAUUCAGCGGCGGACGGGUGUAGUAAUGCCUAGGAAUCUGCCUGGUAGUGGGGGACAACGUUUCGAAAGGAACGCUAAUACCGCAUACGUCCUACGGGAGAAAGCAGGGGACCUUCGGGCCUUGCGCUAUCAGAUGAGCCUAGGUCGGAUUAGCUAGUUGGUGAGGUAAUGGCUCACCAAGGCGACGAUCCGUAACUGGUCUGAGAGGAUGAUCAGUCACACUGGAACUGAGACACGGUCCAGACUCCUACGGGAGGCAGCAGUGGGGAAUAUUGGACAAUGGGCGAAAGCCUGAUCCAGCCAUGCCGCGUGUGUGAAGAAGGUCUUCGGAUUGUAAAGCACUUUAAGUU